Molecule: long non-coding RNA, 495 nt
Organism: Hydra vulgaris (swiftwater hydra)
Lineage: Eukaryota; Metazoa; Cnidaria; Hydrozoa; Anthoathecata; Hydridae
Source: RefSeq, a predicted model, not a curated record
UUUUUAGAGUUGGUUUGUGUUGAUUUAUGAUUUAUGAACAGAAAAUGCAUUACUUUAAUAAAUGUUAGUUAUUUACACAUAAAAUGUGUAAAAAACUAAGUUGUUAUUAAAUCUCCGAUGAAAUGGUUCAUAGAAAUCUUAUUCCCUGCAGGAUGUCUGUUAAAAAAAAAAACUGAAGAAACUUUAAAACUAGAUGAUGGCAACUAAAGAAGUUGAAACACCGUUAUUCAUGGAGUCAUAUCGAGGCUUCAGUUCUUUUUGUUUGUUAGUUAUAUGCAAGAUAUGACAUGGUAUGGUACACUGCAUGUAUAAAAGUGAAUAAAAGAACUAAAGAAGCAAAACGAUAAAUUUUAAAGCAGAUAUUUAUCAUGCGAUUAUGGUGGCGAUUAUGAGAGAACUACUGUGGCAGAAUAUUACUAUUGUAGAACAGUUUUGCAUCAAAUCAUUGUGAUUAAUAUUAGUUUUUUGUUGCUUAAAAAUAUUAUGAAAUUCAAA